GCACAACUGCAGAGCCUCAAUGUCGUUGAGUUCAUUCGAGGAUACGCAUAGAGAAAAAAGAAUGAGGGAUACUGAGUCAGAAACCACGGUCAAUUCUCAAGAAUGUAUGCUAUCUAAACUCUCUAGAUCUUUGGAUCAGGACUGUUCUUUGCAGAACUAUGUGCUGGCUUGUAUGUUGUUAGCUGAUAAUGGAAUGCUAUUAAAAGAGAUGGAUAUUUUUAAGCAAGACCUGUACAGUAUCCCUUCUCUGAGUCUUACAAUACUGGAGAAGAAAAAGGCUACACUGAUGGCACAAUGUGGCAAUGAUUACAAAAGUCAAAGAUCAAACGAUUGCCUUAUUCCCGGCCUUAAUGAUGAUAUUGCACUAGAUUGUCUGGUCUGGGCAAGCCGAUCUGACUAUUCU
This 403-nucleotide unclassified non-coding RNA is filed under the name Hevea brasiliensis (rubber tree). The record is from RNAcentral. Lineage: Eukaryota; Viridiplantae; Streptophyta; Magnoliopsida; Malpighiales; Euphorbiaceae.